Molecule: ribosomal RNA, 506 nt
Filed under: uncultured bacterium
Lineage: Bacteria
Description: partial 16S ribosomal RNA
Rfam family: Bacterial small subunit ribosomal RNA
Source: RNAcentral
AGUGAACGCUGGCGGUAGGCCUAACACAUGCAAGUCGAACGGCAGCACAGGAGAGCUUGCUCUCUGGGUGGCGAGUGGCGGACGGGUGAGGAAUACAUCGGAAUCUACUUUUUCGUGGGGGAUAACGUAGGGAAACUUACGCUAAUACCGCAUACGACCUACGGGUGAAAGCAGGGGAUCUUCGGGCCUUGCGCGAUUGAAUGAGCCGAUGUCGGAUUAGCUAGUUGGCGGGGUAAAGGCCCACCAAGGCGACGAUCCGUAGCUGGUCUGAGAGGAUGAUCAGCAAAACUGGAACUGAGAAACGGUCCAGACUCCUACGGGAGGCAGCAGUGGGGAAUAUUGGACAAUGGGCGCAAGCCUGAUCCAGCCAUACCGCGUGGGUGAAGAAGGCCUUCGGGUUGUAAAGCCCUUUUGUUGGGAAAGAAAUCCAGCUGGUUAAUACCCGGUUGGGAUGACGGUACCCAAAGAAUAAGCACCGGCUAACUUCGUGCCAGCAGCCGCCGUAA